ACGGGUGAGUAACACGUGGGUAACCUGCCCCCAUCUCUGGGAUAACCGUUGGAAACGGCGGCUAAUACCGGAUACGACCACCUUCCGCAUGGUUGGUGGUGGAAAGUUUUUGCGGUUGGGGAGGGGCCCGCGGCCUAUCAGCUUGUUGGUGCGGUAGUGGCGCACCAAGGCUUUGACGGGUAGCCGGCCUGAGAGGGCGGUCGGUCACAUUGGGACUGAGAUACGGCCCAGACUCCUACGGGAGGCAGCAGUGGGGAAUUUUGCACAAUGGGCGCAAGCCUGAUGCAGCGACGCCGCGUGAGGGAUGACGGCUUUCGGGUUGUAAACCUCUUUUAUCCACCACGAAGGCCAGGUAUUCGCCUGGUUGACGGUAGUGGUUGAAUAAGCGCCGGCUAACUACGUGCCAGCAGCCGCGGUAAGACGUAGGGCGCGAGCGUUGUCCGGAUUUAUUGGGCGUAAAGGGCUCGUAGGCGGUUGAUUGCGUCCGCCGUGAAAGGCCUCGGCUUAACCGGGGUUUUGCGGUGGAUACGGGUCGACUUGAGGCAAUUAGGGGAGAUCGGAAUUCUACGUGUAGCGGUGAAAUGCGC
RNAcentral lists this ribosomal RNA (587 nucleotides) under Glycomyces sp. HRRK187. Its description in RNAcentral is "bacterial SSU rRNA". It matches the Rfam family "Bacterial small subunit ribosomal RNA", at positions 102 to 691 of the family's 1533-position model. Lineage: Bacteria; Bacillati; Actinomycetota; Actinomycetes; Glycomycetales; Glycomycetaceae. The record is from RNAcentral.